Molecule: ribosomal RNA, 465 nt
Filed under: Vreelandella stevensii
Lineage: Bacteria; Pseudomonadati; Pseudomonadota; Gammaproteobacteria; Oceanospirillales; Halomonadaceae
Description: partial 16S ribosomal RNA
Rfam family: Bacterial small subunit ribosomal RNA
Source: RNAcentral
CCUACGGGCGGCAGCAGUGGGGAAUAUUGGACAAUGGGCGAAAGCCUGAUCCAGCCAUGCCGCGUGUGUGAAGAAGGCCUUCGGGUUGUAAAGCACUUUCAGUGGGGAAGAAAGCCUUGGGGCUAAUACCCUCGAGGAAGGACAUCACCCACAGAAGAAGCACCGGCUAACUCCGUGCCAGCAGCCGCGGUAAUACGGAGGGUGCGAGCGUUAAUCGGAAUUACUGGGCGUAAAGCGCGCGUAGGCGGUCUGAUAAGCCGGUUGUGAAAGCCCCGGGCUCAACCUGGGAACGGCAUCCGGAACUGUCAGGCUAGAGUGCAGGAGAGGAAGGUAGAAUUCCCGGUGUAGCGGUGAAAUGCGUAGAGAUCGGGAGGAAUACCAGUGGCGAAGGCGGCCUUCUGGACUGACACUGACGCUGAGGUGCGAAAGCGUGGGUAGCGAACAGGAUUAGAUACCCUGGUAGUC